GACGAACGCUGGCGGCGUGCCUAAUACAUGCAAGUUGAGCGCUGAAGGUUGGUACUUGUACCAACUUGAUGAGCAGCGAACGGGUGAGUAACGCGUGGGGAAUCUGCCUUUGAGCGGGGGACAACAGUUGGAAACGAAUGCUAAUACCGCAUAAAAACUUUAAACACAAGUUUUAAGUUUGAAAGAUGCAAUUGCAUCACUCAAAGAUGAUCCCGCGUUGUAUUAGCUAGUUGGUGAGGUAAAGGCUCACCAAGGCGAUGAUACAUAGCCGACCUGAGAGGGUGAUCGGCCACAUUGGGACUGAGACACGGCCCAAACUCCUACGGGAGGCAGCAGUAGGGAAUCUUCGGCAAUGGACGAAAGUCUGACCGAGCAACGCCGCGUGAGUGAAGAAGGUUUUCGGAUCGUAAAACUCUGUUGGUAGAGAAGAACGUUGGUGAGAGUGGAAAGCUCAUCAAGUGACGGUAACUACCCAGAAAGGGACGGCUAACUACGUG
Molecule: ribosomal RNA, 497 nt
Filed under: uncultured bacterium
Lineage: Bacteria
Description: partial 16S ribosomal RNA
Rfam family: Bacterial small subunit ribosomal RNA
Source: RNAcentral